AAUGGAUAAGUAAACUGUAGAGAACUGG
Molecule: non-coding RNA, 28 nt
Filed under: Cricetulus griseus (Chinese hamster)
Lineage: Eukaryota; Metazoa; Chordata; Mammalia; Rodentia; Cricetidae
Source: RNAcentral